GACGAACGCUGGCGGCGUGCUUAGCACAUGCAAGUCGAGCGGAAAGGCCACUUCGGUGGUACUCGAGCGGCGAACGGGUGAGUAACACGUGAGUAAUCUGCCCCUGGCUUUGGGAUAGCCACCGGAAACGGUGAUUAAUACCAGAUACGACCACUUCUCGCAUGGGAUGGUGGUGGAAAGUUUUUUCGGCCAGGGAUGUGCUCGCGGCCUAUCAGCUUGAUGGUGAGGUAAUGGCUCACCAUGGCUUCGACGGGUAGCCGGCCUGAGAGGGUGACCGGUCACACUGGGACUGAGACACGGCCCAGACUCCUACGGGAGGCAGCAGUGGGGAAUAUUGGACAAUGGGCGGAAGCCUGAUCCAGCAACGCCGCGUGAGGGAUGACGGCCUUCGGGUUGUACCUCUUUCAGCAGGGACGAAGCGCAAGUGACGGUACCUGCAGAAGAAGCACCGGCCAACUACGUGCCAGCCGCCGCGGUAA
RNAcentral lists this ribosomal RNA (479 nucleotides) under uncultured bacterium. Its description in RNAcentral is "partial 16S ribosomal RNA". It matches the Rfam family "Bacterial small subunit ribosomal RNA", at positions 28 to 523 of the family's 1533-position model. The record is from RNAcentral.